GACGCUGGCGGCAGGCCUAACCAUGCAAGUCGAGCGGAAACGACACUACAGAUCCUUCGGAUGAGUUAAUGGGCGUCGAGCGGCGGACGGGUGAGUAAUGCCUAGGAAAUUGCCUUGAUGUGGGGGAUAACCAUUGGAAACGAUGGCUAAUACCGCAUAAUGCCUACGGGCCAAAGAGGGGGAUCUUCGGACCUCUCGCGUCAAGAUAUGCCUAGGUGGGAUUAGCUAGUUGGUGAGGUAAUGGCUCACCAAGGCGACGAUCCCUAGCUGGUCUGAGAGGAUGAUCAGCCACACUGGAACUGAGACACGGUCCAGACUCCUACGGGAGGCAGCAGUGGGGAAUAUUGCACAAUGGGCGAAAGCCUGAUGCAGCCAUGCCGCGUGUAUGAAGAAGGCCUUCGGGUUGUAAAGUACUUUCAGUUGUGAGGAAGGGGGUAACGUUAAUAGCGCUAUCUCUUGACGUUAGCAACAGAAGAAGCACCGGCUAACUCCGUGCCAGCAGCCGCGGUAAUACGGAGGGUGCGAGCGUUAAUCGGAAUUACUGGGCGUAAAGCGCAUGCAGGUGGUUCAUUAAGUCAGAUGUGAAAGCCCGGGGCUCAACCUCGGAACUGCAUUUGAAACUGGUGAACUAGAGUGCUGUA
Molecule: ribosomal RNA, 641 nt
Filed under: Vibrio sp. W049
Lineage: Bacteria; Pseudomonadati; Pseudomonadota; Gammaproteobacteria; Vibrionales; Vibrionaceae
Description: SSU rRNA
Rfam family: Bacterial small subunit ribosomal RNA
Source: RNAcentral